UCCAAGGGGCACUAGCCACUUCAAAUAGAAGCAGUAUAUAGAUAACUCUUGUUCCCUAACAACUGUUGAGACACAUCUUGCAAUUUAACUCCCUCACAAAAUUUUAGGGACGAAGCGAUGGAAACCCCUCUAAGUUGGGGUUCAACCUCAUUUAUUUUGAGUAUUUAGCUAUUUUUGUUUGUACAUCAUUUAUUCUGAUUUAAAAAAAAAAUGUAAAAUGUCCCAUUUUCUUCCUUAAAAGAGUAAAUUUGCCACAAUGACAAUAAACUACAUAAAUUUUCCUGUUCUUUUUUUAAUAGUUCUACAUACCAUCGAAUCGUGAAGCGUUUUUUAAUAGUUUUAUUCAUUAUUACAUUCACAACCAUGCCCAUAUUAUUGAGCAAACUUGAGUAUCUUACAUUAGCUCAAAGUACUUCAACAGAAACGAGUAAAUUACAUCAUAGUAACAACAUAAAGAUUCAAGACCAAGUCCCACCUAACAUGACNNNNN
RNAcentral lists this long non-coding RNA (490 nucleotides) under Olea europaea (common olive). Its description in RNAcentral is "long non-coding RNA (OEUR_LNC002205)". The record is from RNAcentral. Lineage: Eukaryota; Viridiplantae; Streptophyta; Magnoliopsida; Lamiales; Oleaceae.